AGAGUCCUGAAGUGUACGUUGUAUCACCUGAAAUUUUGACCGAACAUUAUUUCUUCGGGAGUCCGGUGUUUUCUGAUUGCGUAAAUGCCCCAUCCUUUUCGGAGUAGGGGACUUACAAAAUUGGAAACAGGACACCCCCCUGCUGCGUGCGGGAUCAAAAUGAAGGAACCCAAAGCGACGGCACAAAUUGGGACUCUU
This 198-nucleotide non-coding RNA is filed under the name Neobacillus ginsengisoli. Its description in RNAcentral is "6S / SsrS RNA". It matches the Rfam family "6S / SsrS RNA". Rfam says of the family: E. coli 6S RNA was the first non coding RNA to be sequenced, but its function was unknown until recently. It consists of 184 nucleotides that fold into an extended hairpin structure with a large single-stranded internal bulge. The record is from RNAcentral. Lineage: Bacteria; Bacillati; Bacillota; Bacilli; Caryophanales; Bacillaceae.